GGUGAACGCUGGCGGCAGGCCUAAUACAUGCAAGUCGAACGGCAGCACAGCAGAGCUUGCUCUGUGGUGGCGAGUGGCGGACGGGGUGAGGAAUACAUGGGAAUCUGCCCAGUCGUGGGGGAUAACGUAGGGAAACUUACGCUAAUACCGCAUGCGCCCUUCGGGGAAAGCCGGGGACCUUCGGGCCUGGCGCGAUUGGAUGAGCCCAUGUCGGAUUAGCUAGUUGGCGGGGUAAUGGCCCACCAAGGCGACGAUCCGUAGCUGGUCUGAGAGGAUGAUCAGCCACACUGGAACUGAGACACGGUCCAGACUCCUACGGGAGGCAGCAGUAGGGAAUAUUGGACAAUGGGCGCAAGCCUGAUCCAGCCAUGCCGCGUGAGUGAAGAAGGCCCUCGGGUUGUAAAGCUCUUUUGUCCGGAAGAAAGCGCCGGGUUAAUACCCUGGUGUCCUGACGGUACCGGAGAAUAAGCACCGGCUAACUUCGUGCCAGCAGCCGCGGUAAU
Molecule: ribosomal RNA, 503 nt
Filed under: uncultured bacterium
Lineage: Bacteria
Description: bacterial SSU rRNA
Rfam family: Bacterial small subunit ribosomal RNA
Source: RNAcentral